UACGUAGGGACCAAGCGUUGUUCGGAUUUACUGGGCGUAAAGGGCGCGUAGGCGGCGCGGUAAGUCACUUGUGAAAUCUCUGAGCUCAACUCAGAACGGCCAAGUGAUACUGCAGUGCUAGAGUGUGGAAGGGGCAAUCGGAAUUCUUGGUGUAGCGGUGAAAUGCGUAGAUAUCAAGAGGAACACCUGAGGUGAAGACGGGUUGCUGGGCCAACACUGACGCUGAUGCGCGAAAGCCAGGGGAGCAAAC
RNAcentral lists this ribosomal RNA (250 nucleotides) under uncultured bacterium. RNAcentral's name for it is "partial 16S ribosomal RNA". It matches the Rfam family "Bacterial small subunit ribosomal RNA", at positions 524 to 773 of the family's 1533-position model. The record is from RNAcentral.